AUUAAGACUCUCGGCAACGGAUAUCUCGGCUCUUACAUCGAUGAAGAACGUAGCGAAAUGCGAUACUUGGUGUGAAUUGCAGAAUCCCGUGAACCAUCGAGUCUUUGAACGCAAGUUGCGCCCGAGGCCUUCGGGUCGAGGGCGCGCCUGCCUGGGCGUCACGC
Molecule: ribosomal RNA, 164 nt
Filed under: Gagea granatellii
Lineage: Eukaryota; Viridiplantae; Streptophyta; Magnoliopsida; Liliales; Liliaceae
Description: 5.8S ribosomal RNA
Rfam family: 5.8S ribosomal RNA
About the family: 5.8S ribosomal RNA (5.8S rRNA) is a component of the large subunit of the eukaryotic ribosome. It is transcribed by RNA polymerase I as part of the 45S precursor that also contains 18S and 28S rRNA.
Source: RNAcentral